GACGAACGCUGGCGGCGUGCCUAACACAUGCAAGUCGAACGGAGUUAUUUGGAUCGAGGCUUCGGCCAAGUGAAUGAUAACUUAGUGGCGAACGGGUGAGUAACGCGUGAGCAACCUGCCUUUCAGAGGGGGACAACAGUUGGAAACGACUGCUAAUACCGCAUAACACAUCGAUGGGGCAUCCUGUUGAUGUCAAAGAUUUAUCGCUGAAAGGUGGGCUCGCGUCUGAUUAGCUAGUUGGCGGGGUAACGGCCCACCAAGGCGACGAUCAGUAGCCGGACUGAGAGGUUGAACGGCCACAUUGGGACUGAGAUACGGGCCCAGACUCCUACGGGAGGCAGCAGUGGGGAAUAUUGGGCAAUGGGGGAAACCCUGACCCAGCAACGCCGCGUGAA
Molecule: ribosomal RNA, 395 nt
Filed under: uncultured bacterium
Lineage: Bacteria
Description: bacterial SSU rRNA
Rfam family: Bacterial small subunit ribosomal RNA
Source: RNAcentral